CCUACGGGAGGCAGCAGUGGGGGAUAUUGCACAAUGGGGGGAACCCUGAUGCAGCGACGCCGCGUGGGUGAAGGAGCGUUUCGGCGCGUAAAGCCCUAUCGGCAGGGAAGAAGAAGGACGGUACCUGACUAAGAAGCCCCGGCUAACUACGUGCCAGCAGCCGCGGUAAUACGUAGGGGGCAAGCGUUAUCCGGAUUUACUGGGGGUAAAGGGGGCGCAGACGGCAGCGCAAGCCAGGAGUGAAAGCCCGUGGCCCAACCCCGGGACUGCUCUUGGAACUGCGCGGCGGGAGUGCAGGAGGGGCAGGCGGAAUUCCUGGUGUAGCGGUGAAAUGCGUAGAUAUCAGGAGGAACACCGGUGGCGAAGGCGGCCUGCUGGACUGCGACUGACAUUGAUGCUCGAAAGUGUGGGUAUCAAACAGGAUUAGAUACCCGGGUAGUC
RNAcentral lists this ribosomal RNA (441 nucleotides) under uncultured bacterium. RNAcentral describes it as "partial 16S ribosomal RNA". It matches the Rfam family "Bacterial small subunit ribosomal RNA", at positions 338 to 795 of the family's 1533-position model. The record is from RNAcentral.